Molecule: ribosomal RNA, 450 nt
Filed under: uncultured bacterium
Lineage: Bacteria
Description: partial 16S ribosomal RNA
Rfam family: Bacterial small subunit ribosomal RNA
Source: RNAcentral
GUGGGGAAUUUUGGACAAUGGGCGAAAGUCUGAUCCAGCCAUGCCGCGUGCAGGAUGAAGGCCUUCGGGUUGUAAACUGCUUUUGUACGGAACGAAAAGACUCCUUCUAAUAAAGGGGGUCCAUGACGGUACCGUAAGAAUAAGCACCGGCUAACUACGUGCCAGCAGCCGCGGUAAUACGUAGGGUGCAAGCGUUAAUCGGAAUUACUGGGCGUAAAGCGUGCGCAGGCGGUUAUAUAAGACAGAUGUGAAAUCCCCGGGCUCAACCUGGGAACUGCAUUUGUGACUGUAUAGCUAGAGUACGGUAGAGGGGGAUGGAAUUCCGCGUGUAGCAGUGAAAUGCGUAGAUAUGCGGAGGAACACCGAUGGCGAAGGCAAUCCCCUGGACCUGUACUGACGCUCAUGCACGAAAGCGUGGGGAGCAAACAGGAUUAGAUACCCGAGUAGUCC